GAUGAACGCUAGCGGCAGGCUUAAUACAUGCAAGUCGAGGGGCAACAGGUCCGCCGAAAGGCGGAUGCUGGCGACCGGCAAACGGGUGCGGAACACGUACAGAACUUUCCUUUAAGCGGGGGAUAGCCCAUAGAAAUGUGGAUUAAUACCCCAUAGUAAUGCUGGUUGGCAUCAACUGGUAUUUAAAGAUUUAUCACUUAAAGAUGGCUGUGCGGCUGAUUAGGUAGUUGGUCGGGGUAACGGCCCACCAAGCCAUCGAUCAGUAACUGGUGUGAGAGCACGACCAGUCACACGGGCACUGAGACACGGGCCCGACUCCUACGGGAGGCAGCAGUAAGGAAUAUUGGUCAAUGGACGCAAGUCUGAACCAGCCAUGCCGCGUGAAGGAUGAAGGCCCUCUGGGUUGUUAAACUUCUUUUAUCUGGGAAGAAACCACUUCUUUAUAGAGGUGUUGACGGUACCAGAGGAAUAAGCACCGGCUAACUCCGUGCCAGCA
Molecule: ribosomal RNA, 496 nt
Filed under: uncultured bacterium
Lineage: Bacteria
Description: bacterial SSU rRNA
Rfam family: Bacterial small subunit ribosomal RNA
Source: RNAcentral